This is a long non-coding RNA of Oxyura jamaicensis (ruddy duck), 618 nucleotides long. RefSeq lists it as uncharacterized. The record is from RefSeq and is a predicted model, not a curated record. NCBI's taxonomy places the organism in Eukaryota, Metazoa, Chordata, Aves, Anseriformes, Anatidae. The transcript is spliced from 3 exons.
GUUGAAUUAAUAAAAACUGAACUUUAUAUAAGCCUCAGCUACAGAGCAUUAUGCUGGUGAAGAAUUUCAGGUGCAAAUAAUCAGAGAUUACUACACAUGAGGGAAUUCACCAGUGGUCAUGAAUACCCUCAAUCUACUUCCGUGAGGCACUUAGAAAAACGUUGCUUGAUAGCAAACACUGAGGAGCAACUGCAAGCUCUCACGUAGAUCCUUACUGGAGAAACAGGGUGAAAAUACGCAGAGGUAACUCGAGACACCGAAAACUGCUAACAGAUGAAAAUUGACAAGUUGUGGGCUGAGAGUGAGACUAUGAGAAUGCAGUAUUUACUAAUGCAAUCCACCUGAAUGCAAGUAUUUGCAUAGAAAGACUCCACUGUUCUGUUAUUUUAACAACAAAUAUUUUCCAGCUGCAUAAAGAACCGUUUAAUAUUUUCAAAGUAACAUGUCCUCAGGCAAUUUGUUUAUUUACAAGUGCAAUCCAAAAAUUAGCUAGGAAUAUAUUUACAUCUUGUAUACACAGGCAAGCAUUUAGCACAAGAUGCUAAGAACACAAAUAAAAAUCCAUACAUUAAAAGUUUUUAGAUCAAAAUAUUUGCCUUUUAUUCUUAUCCUUUCAUU